This is a non-coding RNA of Biomphalaria pfeifferi, 585 nucleotides long. The record is from the annotation of a GenBank genome assembly. NCBI's taxonomy places the organism in Eukaryota, Metazoa, Mollusca, Gastropoda, Planorbidae.
AUAACAUUAAAGCAGCAGUCAUUUUAAAUAGAAGCUCAAUAAAUGUCAAUGUAAAUGAUAAGCUGGAGAAAUACUUUCUCAAUAGCUGGUUUGAAAACUAAAUGAAAACCACUGUUCAUGUUGCACAAUGUUUAGUGCAAUGUCAUUGAAAAGAUUGAGGCCAGGUUUUUAUAUUGACAUAUUUUGGUAAAACCUGGAAAAUAUUCAUGUGUCGUGCCCCAAUGUUUAAACAGACUAACGGAUGUCCAAAAUGUCGGACCUGUUUUAUGUCAACUUUUUAAAUCCGCCUCAAGCUACAAGUACCGUCUGUUGACAUUCCUACUUGAUGAAUAAAAUUUUUAGCCUUAAUGACUAGUUUUAAGUAGAGUGCUACAAAAAUAUUUCAUAAAAAUGUACAUUUUUGUAUAUCAAUUAUAUGAUCGAAUAAAAUGAAACAAUUUUUCUUUGGCUAAAAAAACUAUUUUCAAAUUUUAGUUGAUAAAAAGAGGAAGUACAGACUUGAUUGGCUAGUUUUGUUUAUUUAUAUCAUCUGCCUUAUAGAUUGCAAGGUCUGAAAGGGGAACUUUACUUUUUCUAAAAAAUUAU